This 1413-nucleotide long non-coding RNA is filed under the name Gossypium barbadense (sea-island cotton). RNAcentral's name for it is "long non-coding RNA (GBAR_LNC022644)". Lineage: Eukaryota; Viridiplantae; Streptophyta; Magnoliopsida; Malvales; Malvaceae. The record is from RNAcentral.
CUUUUAAGCAACUUCAUGAAGGAGUGGAUGUUGAGGAAGUAAUUCUUCCAAGUAUGAUUGAGAAUCUGCCAGAUCAUACAGAUACCACUUCAGAAUUUCCUGUUGUCGAGGCAAGAUCUCUGGAUGAUAUACAUAAUGCUUUCAUAAAAGGACCGGAACCUAAUCCAGCUGAGCUGCCGCAUUCAGCAGACUUGAGGCAUGGAUCAUCAGAAGUAGAGCUGCAUGAUGUGGUUUCUUCUAAUGAGGUUGAAGUUGGGCAAGCAGUCUCUGGCUUUGAAGAACAUCUUGAGAAUGUUGCUGCUGGUGAACCGAAAAAAGAAUAUGAAGAAAUAGAAGAAUUGAAGAUGGAGACCAAUGCGGAGCUGCCUGUUCUGAAUGCAAGAUCGGUUGAAGAUAUUGAUUUGGCUUUUAAGCAACUUCAUGAAGGUGUAGAUGUUGAGGAAGUAGUUCUUGCAAGCAUGAUUGAGGAUCAGCUGGAUCAUGAAGAUUUCACUUCAAAGUUACCUGUUGUCGAGGCAAGAUCUCUGGAGGAUAUACAUAAUGCUUUCCAAAAAGGUCCAGAACCUAAUCUGGCCGAGCUGCCACUUUCCACAGACUUGAGAAAUGGAUCAUCAGAAAUGGAGCAGCAUGAUGUGGUUUCUAAUAAAGAGAUUGAAGUUGGCCGUGCCGUCUCUGGCAUUCAAGAAAAUAGUCAGAAUUCUGCCGGUGAACCAAAAAAUGACCAUGAAGAAACAGAGGAAAUGAAGAUGGAGACCAAUGCAGAGCUGCCUGUUCUUGAAGCAAGAUCAUUGGAAGACAUUGAUUUGGCUUUUAAGCAAUUUCAUGAAGGAGUUGAUGUUGAGGAAAUAAUUCUUCCAAGCAUGAUUGAGAAUCAGCAGGGUGAUGCAGAUACCAAUUCGGAUUUACCAGUUGUUGAGGCGAGAUCUCUGGAGGAUAUACAGAGUGCUUUUCAACAAGGCCCCGAAUCUAAUCUAGCUGAGGUGCCACAUUCCUCAGGAGUAGAGCAUCCUGAUGUGGUUUCUACUGAAGAGAUUGAUGGUAGUAGUCCCGUCUCUGGUAUUCAAGCAAUGAGUGAGAAUGUUGCCAGUGGACCAAAAAAUGAAAACAAAGAAAUGGUAGAAAAAGAGAUGGAGACUGAGGUGGUGCUACCUGUACUUGAAGCAAAAUCAGUGGAAGACAUCGAUGUGGCGUUUAAGCAACUUCAUGAAGGGGUAAAUGUGGAGGAAAUAAUUAUUCCAAGUAUGAUUGUGAACCAACAGGUUCAUGCAGACAUCAGUUCAACAUUACCUGUUGUCGAGGCAAGAUCUCUGGAGGAUAUACAUAAUGCUUUCCAACAAGGCCCUAAAUCUAAUCCAGGCGAGCAGCCACAUUCUUCGGACUUAAGGAUCGGAUCAUCAAAAAUAGAAAGGCAUG